UAUCCGUUGGUGAACCAGCGGAGGGAUCAUUACAGGACUCGCAAGACUCCUUCACCCUGUGAACCUCACUACAAGCACGUUGCUUCGGCGGGUGUCCCGGCGGGGGUUUUCCCUCGCCGGGGCGCACAGCCCGCCGGCAGCCUACUAUACUCUGUCUCUUUGCGUUGGCAUCUCGAGAAAAAACAAACAAGUUAAAACUUUCAACAACGGAUCUCUUGGUUCUGACAUCGAUGAAGAACGCAGC
This 244-nucleotide unclassified non-coding RNA is filed under the name plant metagenome. RNAcentral's name for it is "partial contains small subunit ribosomal RNA, internal transcribed spacer 1, and 5.8S ribosomal RNA". The stretch from base 196 to 244 matches the Rfam family "5.8S ribosomal RNA", at positions 1 to 49 of the family's 154-position model. The record is from RNAcentral.